UACUGUUUUGACGUUCAGCCAGUUGAAAAUUGGUCGUAUACAAUGCACACGUCCAGCAGCUGCUAUUGCGCGAUGGCUUUCGCCAAACUGAACAGUAUAGCUGCAGAGUUAUGGCCCGUCUCAUCAUCAUAAUCGGGCCGUGGACGAUAGAAUUUUCUACCCAAUCUCACGCUUCUCAUCAUUGCGACCUCCCACGGUUGUCAUUAAAAGUCCGCCAUUUAAAGUUUUUGAUAUAAUUUUGUUUUCUUUCCUUGGCUCCAUUUUUUUUCCCCUCUUGUUUUUAUCCCAUCAGCGUGCAAUAUCGUAAAAGAAUAGCCACACUUAUGAUGCGCGAUUAUCCGUGUUUUGAUUAGAUAAUGACGGAGAGACCAGGGACGUUUUGUCGAUUCAAGCGUGUAUUUAUUAAGUAAAAUUUGUUUGAGGGCUGGCUUUCCCUCUCGCUGCACACACAUAUCUCAUGGUGAGAUAUCGAGUUGAUGUACCUAAAAAUAAGAAUUCAGCCAUUUUCAAUGUGGUUGAUGCUUGUAACAAUCCCACUACUUUUUCCCCCGCAGAAAAACAAAGAAAAAAAUUUCAUCGUCAUUCCAGUUUUUUCUUUUUGUCUUUACGAGCUCCAGAUGUUUUUGGCGUGCCAGUCUUUCAGUCAGCCAUAAUAGUAGCACGGCGGCUUGUCAUUUUUUUUGUGUUUUGUUUUUUCUCUUUCACAGUCUGUUUAGCCAAUGUCCCAUUAUGCAUCGGCGUGUGCUGGUAGCGCACGCAUGUAGUAUCUCUUUCACCUGAAUUUCGUCAUCGAGAUUGAAGCCACCACCACAUCCUCUUCAUUCUUUUGUUGGACUUCAAAAUCGACAUCAUUUAACUUAGUUUUUCUUGUCUUUAUAUGCAUUCCAGAACGAAACAAACUACAAAGCUGAUUAGUCGCAACAGUUGCGUUCUUUUUAUUUUUUUUACGACCAGUUGACUUUCCCCUCCUUGUUCCAUUGAUACUUUCCAUCGGUCGAAAAUAAAGUCCAACUUGCCUCGAUUUUUUUGGGUUUUUUUUAGACCCACGGUGGAUGAGCUCCGGUACGGUUGAUUUUCUUUCCAUUCAUGAAAUGAUGCGGGCCGUUUUUUUUUCUUUUCAAUUUCUCGGUCUAUUAGUGCCGUCCGAUGAAAGAAAGCAAAGCAUAUUAUUAAGUCGUCAAAUAUCGACACUUACGCAACUAACGUGCACGCCACAGGUGGUGUAUAUAUACGCCAUUCUCUUCUUCCAUUGUUUUUUUUUUUAACAGGCUGUGCAAUUGAUUUUUUUAUUAAACGCCCACGGGAUCUACGAGGAGAUUUAUUGUUGAUUGGAUCUUUGGAUAGAAAUCUAUAUAUACCCACCAACUGGACAUGAUUUCGGAAAGUAUUAUUAUUUAUUGGAUUACAUUGAUUUAUUUAAAACAUUCUUUGUGUACUUUCUUUUGGAAAUACCAGGAUCCGUGACGCCGAGUGCAAUGUUGCAUGUAAAACCAAUCGUUCAACAUGCCUUUUCUCUUUUGUUUUAUUUUAUUUUUUUCCUCCUUCUUCAACAUCCAUAGUCUUCUUCUUAUCUGGAACAUUCAGGUAGGUCGUUUACGUAUCUCCCCCCCCUCCCCCCCGCACGGGUACUAUUACGUAUUUGUUAAUCGUUCUGCGUAACAACAAAUUAGUUCGAUCUUUAUAGUCAUUUGGUGUUCUUUUACACCUAUUUGAAAAACCAAUAGUGAAGACCUAGACAAAAAAAAAACAACACACGUGUGGGGGGGGGGUAGCACGAGAGCAUGUCGAAGUGAAAUUCGAAAGAGUAUACGAGGAAAGAGAGAUUACCCUAAUUGUCUAGAUGGAGACAGUACUACAAAGUGUGACCGAAUCCAACGUGUGGCGGUGUUGCUCAUAAAAUUCGCCGAACCAUUUCGUCCGGUGCAGUACAAGAGUCAAUGCGGCUAUUGAGAUGGGGGGGAUCACGGUUUGCUUGCCAUGUGUCCACUCGGCGAUUGUCGUGAUCAAACAAACGGAACUGUUUGAUGAUGAAACAACUGCACACAAUCGAAUCACUCUUCUUUUCCUUAAUUUACUUCUUUUUUUUUUUUUAUUAUUCCUUUCAAGUGAAUGCACAAUGUUUCGUUCAAAACAUCGGAAGGCCCAAGAGAGAAAGCUCCAAACAGUAACUCAUAAAACCAGUUUUUUUGUUGUUGUUUAAAAAUAAGAAUACAUUAGGCAACAAAAUUCCAUAUUUCUUGGCUUAAAAAAAAAAAAAUAGGAUUCUUGCCGUGUUUAGAGGCCGUUAAUGUAGGUAAGGAACAUUUGAAAAAGAAAAGAAGAAAAAAAAAGGUAAUUGGGUCACUUCUCCGAAGUGAACACGGAGGAACAAACAAGAAAGAAAGAACGAAAAAAAAGUGGGGAAAAAUUGUUUAUGACAGUGGUCUACCUUGUGUGCGACGUUGAAAUCGCGAGAAAGUUUAUUUUAUUUUCCGGUCUAGUGUUUUCAGAGCCGAUUUGCAGCUGCACACGCAGCAGGUCCGGUGUUCUUCAUCUUCAAUUUCUGAUAAUGGAGUUAUAGGCUACAGGGUACGUAUCCAAUAUACUCAAAUAAUUAUGAUAGAAGUGAGUCUAGAACGCACAUAUCCCGCCGAGAUCGUAACAGAAGAGAGAAACAAGAGAAUGUUGCCUUCCACAGGUAUUUCUUAGCAGAUGUACGUAUGUACGCGUAUAGUGUAGCUGUAAUAGCCUUUAGCCAAAUAAGGACACGCGGCAGAUGGUCUAAUUGCAUAGCUGCUGUUUGCACCCAAAACUGUUUUGAAAGCAAAUAUAACACAAUAAGCUUAUGCACAGGCGUGUCAGUUUAAUGCAAUAACCACGUUGCUCAAUCAUUAAUUAGUUUUUUUUUUCUGUUUUGGGAGAGCUGGGACAUCUUGUUGCACAAUCCUAGUGCCGUUUCUCUCUUUUGUUUGUGUGACAGAAACAUGAUGAUACCGGGGAUUCGGGGAACCAAUAAGCAGACUCCAAGCGUGUACCACUAAAAAAAACUAAAAAAAAUGUGGGUUUUUUCAUCGACCAACGAACGAAAUCCACAAGGUACGCUUUCUAUCUACCAUAUAAGCUCUCAAUUCACUCUUUUUCUUUUAUCUAUUUUUAUUUGGACCAACAGCAGAUUCACCGCGUUGAGCAUGCGAAUUCGUGGCCUUUGUUUUCAAUUUGGUGGAGGGCCGAUGACGAUGGUUCUUUUCUCUCUUUUGCUCAUUUUCACUUUGUUUUCUCCUUCUGCAUGUGCUAGACUCGACUUCAGCUUUACAAAACCAUCAUGUAAAAAAUGAAAAAGAAAAAAAAAGGACGCAUUUUUUUUUUAAAUUUCUUUUGUUGUAAAGCUUACGUUAUGUAGCCUUUUUAGUCGUACAAAAUUUUGGUCGUCUGAGAUGCAAUUACAGCGCUUCGCGGUCGAUGUUAUAGGCCCACCACAA
Daphnia magna is the source of this 3458-nucleotide long non-coding RNA. RefSeq lists it as uncharacterized. Lineage: Eukaryota; Metazoa; Arthropoda; Branchiopoda; Diplostraca; Daphniidae. The transcript is spliced from 2 exons. The record is from RefSeq and is a predicted model, not a curated record.